UAAUACGGAGGGUGCGAGCGUUAAUCGGAAUUACUGGGCGUAAAGCGUGCGUAGGUGGUUUGUUAAGUCAGAUGUGAAAGCCCUGGGCUCAACCUGGGAACUGCAUUUGAAACUGGCAAACUAGAGUAUAGGAGAGGAAAGUGGAAUUUCUGGUGUAGCGGUGGAAUGCGUAGAUAUCAGAAGGAACAUCAAUGGCGAAGGCAGUUUUCUGGACUAAUACUGACACUGAGGUACGAAAGCGUGGGUAGCAAACAGGAUUAGAUACCCUGGUAGUCCACGCCGUAAACGAUGAUAACUAGCCGUUGGGGGGAUUUACCCUUUAGUGGCGAAGCUAACGCGUUAAGUUAUCCGCCUGGGGAGUACGGCCGCAAGGUUA
Molecule: ribosomal RNA, 376 nt
Filed under: uncultured bacterium
Lineage: Bacteria
Description: bacterial SSU rRNA
Rfam family: Bacterial small subunit ribosomal RNA
Source: RNAcentral